CAGUUUUCAUAAGGUGACCGGGAAGGAAAUCCGCUCAAUAAAGCAGCGUAAGUCACCCAUGGCGCAGAAGGAGAAGUUCCCAGCGCACUUCUUUGAACAGUGCCAGUGGUCCAGAAAGGGAUUCAUCAGAACUCGAUGGAGUCUUUCCAGCUGUAACUUCGAUCUGGUCAACGUUCACCUCUUCCACGACGCUCACAACGUUGUGGCCUGGAAGGAAAGUCCUUCCUACUACGCCGGGAUCAGGCGGAAGGCCAUGGACUUUGUUCUA
Molecule: non-coding RNA, 268 nt
Organism: Poecilia reticulata (guppy)
Lineage: Eukaryota; Metazoa; Chordata; Actinopteri; Cyprinodontiformes; Poeciliidae
Source: RefSeq, a predicted model, not a curated record